CUUGCACCAAGCUAGGUGGGGUCAUCUACCACAUACCUAGGCUAUGCUGUACAGUCUAUUACUGUGGACUGUACAUGUGUACAGCAUGCUACUGUUACUGUAGGAUUUUAGCACUGAACAUCCUGACCCAGGAGCAAGGAAAAUUAAAAACGGACAAGAUCUGCAUUCCCUGCUCCACCCUUCUGGGACACCCUCCUACAGGUCAUGAGUUUCCUAGGCAGCUUCAGAGAUCAAGGCCUCACUGUGGCCAUUGGGUUGUCACUGAGCUGCCAAAGAUCUUGACUCUAGAAACCUCCCAUCCUUCAGAACUGAAGCGUGGACCAUGGAGUGUGCAUAAGGCUGGGCUGGAGGGAGCCUGA
This 359-nucleotide long non-coding RNA is filed under the name Chinchilla lanigera (long-tailed chinchilla). RNAcentral's name for it is "lncRNA (ENSCLAG00000027385.1)". The record is from RNAcentral. Lineage: Eukaryota; Metazoa; Chordata; Mammalia; Rodentia; Chinchillidae.